GGAACUUUUGAUAUUAUACUGCUAUAUCACAUUUAACCAACCUGACAUGUCAACGUUCUCUGCAACUUUUCUACAUGCAGUAGCCUUCCUAUUGAUAUCUCUAUAACCCUCAUCGGAGAGAUCA
Molecule: long non-coding RNA, 124 nt
Organism: Etheostoma spectabile (orangethroat darter)
Lineage: Eukaryota; Metazoa; Chordata; Actinopteri; Perciformes; Percidae
Exons: 3
Source: RefSeq, a predicted model, not a curated record